GUACACUCCUACGGGAGGCAGCAGUGGGGAAUAUUGGACAAUGGGCGCAAGCCUGAUCCAGCCAUGCCGCGUGAGUGAUGAAGGCCCUAGGGUUGUAAAGCUCUUUCACCGGUGAAGAUAAUGACGGUAACCGGAGAAGAAGCCCCGGCUAACUUCGUGCCAGCAGCCGCGGUAAUACGAAGGGGGCUAGCGUUGUUCGGAUUUACUGGGCGUAAAGCGCACGUAGGCGGACUAUUAAGUCAGGGGUGAAAUCCCGGGGCUCAACCCCGGAACUGCCUUUGAUACUGGUAGUCUUGAGUUCGAGAGAGGUGAGUGGAAUUCCGAGUGUAGAGGUGAAAUUCGUAGAUAUUCGGAGGAACACCAGUGGCGAAGGCGGCUCACUGGCUCGAUACUGACGCUGAGGUGCGAAAGCGUGGGGAGCAAACAGGAUUAGAUACCCUAGUAGUCCCAUGAU
Molecule: ribosomal RNA, 454 nt
Filed under: uncultured organism
Description: partial 16S ribosomal RNA
Rfam family: Bacterial small subunit ribosomal RNA
Source: RNAcentral